RNAcentral lists this ribosomal RNA (460 nucleotides) under Salmonella enterica subsp. enterica serovar Infantis. Its description in RNAcentral is "partial 23S ribosomal RNA". It matches the Rfam family "Bacterial large subunit ribosomal RNA", at positions 711 to 1168 of the family's 2925-position model. RNAcentral also lists the same sequence under 6 other names. Lineage: Bacteria; Pseudomonadati; Pseudomonadota; Gammaproteobacteria; Enterobacterales; Enterobacteriaceae. The record is from RNAcentral.
AGACCCGAAACCCGGUGAUCUAGCCAUGGGCAGGUUGAAGGUUGGGUAACACUAACUGGAGGACCGAACCGACUAAUGUUGAAAAAUUAGCGGAUGACCUGUGGCUGGGGGUGAAAGGCCAAUCAAACCGGGAGAUAGCUGGUUCUCCCCGAAAGCUAUUUAGGUAGCGCCUCGUGAAUUCAUCUCCGGGGGUAGAGCACUGUUUCGGCUAGGGGGCCAUCCCGGCUUACCAACCCGAUGCAAACUGCGAAUACCGGAGAAUGUUAUCACGGGAGACACACGGCGGGUGCUAACGUCCGUCGUGAAGAGGGAAACAACCCAGACCGCCAGCUAAGGUCCCAAAGUCAUGGUUAAGUGGGAAACGAUGUGGGAAGGCCCAGACAGCCAGGAUGUUGGCUUAGAAGCAGCCAUCAUUUAAAGAAAGCGUAAUAGCUCACUGGUCGAGUCGGCCUGCGCGGAA